CCAUCUUUAGUCUUCUUUAGUCUGUUUUGUACAAACUCACAAUCAAACCCUCACAUAUUUUUCUGUCCAUAUUCAAGAAAUCCUCAAAUUCCCGCCCACCCAUCUUUUGUAAAAAUCCUAAAAAUCACCUCUCACAGACCCAGCAUCAAACCCCUUCGAUCCCCGGAAAAAACCCUCAAGAUCCAAAGAAAGAAACACCAUGUGGUAAGAAUCUCGUGAUCGCGUCCUCUUCCAAACGCACUUACAGUAACAGACGUGGCUUCCUGGUGGUUCUUUUCAUUUUCAAUAACAAUAAUUUGGAAUCUGUGCAUGGAGCUCCACAUCAAGGUAGCCCAAGGGAAGUGUGGAAGUCCUCGCUUUGUGCACACAUAGCCUCGGUGAAAUUCGAAAGAAAAAAAAACAAAGGAAUGAAACCAAGAAAAAAAUCUGCACACGUAGCCUCGGCGAAUGAGCCACGGUGGAGUGCACCGACGAUGGCCGACUCAAGCCGGAGAACAUGAUGGGGCUUGAUGGUGCCCCUAUCCAAAGGCAGCACCCACAGGAGAAGCAGCGGCAGAGGUUGGGUACAACACUGAAAAAUCGGAAAAAGAAAAAACCCACUGGAAACUUAACCAGUGUAUACUAUGAGCAGAGCAACCUUGAUAUGGCAAUACUCAACUACAAGCGAGCAAUAACUUGGGCAAUGCAUUAAAAGAUGCUGGGAGAGUAGAGGAAUAAAUCCACUGUUACCGACAAUGCCUGUCUCUUCAACCCAGUCACCCUCAAGCUCUAACUAAUCUUGGAAAUAUUUAUAUGGAGUGGAACAUGACGAGUGCUGCAGCUCAGUGCUACAAGGCAACACUAGCUGUUACAACAGGACUUUCUGCCCCUCUUAAUAACUUAGCUGUAAUACACAAGCAGCAGGGUAAUUAUGCGGAUGCAAUAUCUUGCUACAAUGUGGUCCUCAGGAUUGAUCCAUUGGCAGCUGAUGGCAGAUACUUCACUAAAGAGAAGUUCAAAGCAUAUGUUAUUGUCUAUAACCAUCCAAAGGCAAUCACAGUGUGCUAUGUGAAGGUCAAUGAAGAUGAUAAAACUGAUGCUGCAAGGAUGUGCUUGUACCUAA
Non-coding RNA from Sesamum indicum (sesame), 1102 nucleotides. NCBI's taxonomy places the organism in Eukaryota, Viridiplantae, Streptophyta, Magnoliopsida, Lamiales, Pedaliaceae. The record is from RefSeq and is a predicted model, not a curated record.